RNAcentral lists this ribosomal RNA (253 nucleotides) under uncultured bacterium. Its description in RNAcentral is "partial 16S ribosomal RNA". It matches the Rfam family "Bacterial small subunit ribosomal RNA", at positions 524 to 776 of the family's 1533-position model. The record is from RNAcentral.
UACAGAGGGUGCGAGCGUUGUCCGGAAUCACUGGGCGUAAAGGGCGCGUAGGUGGCGACCCAAGUCCAUGGUGAAAGCUCGAUGCUCAACGUCGAGUCGGCCACGGAUACUGGGUUGCUGGAGCACUGUAGAGGCAGAUGGAAUUCCGGGUGUAGCGGUGGAAUGCGUAGAGAUCCGGAAGAACACCGGUGGCGAAGGCGGUCUGCUGGGCAGUUGCUGACACUGAUGCGCGACAGCGUGGGGAGCAAACAGG